RNAcentral lists this transfer RNA (77 nucleotides) under Lentisphaerota bacterium. Its description in RNAcentral is "Lentisphaerae bacterium tRNA-His". It matches the Rfam family "tRNA". From Rfam's summary of the family: Transfer RNA (tRNA) molecules are approximately 80 nucleotides in length. The record is from RNAcentral. Lineage: Bacteria; Pseudomonadati; Lentisphaerota. RNAcentral also lists the same sequence under 1 other name.
GCGGGAGUAGAUCAAUUGGUUAGAUCAUCAGAUUGUGAUUCUGAGGGUUGCGGGUUCGAGUCCCGUCUCCUGCCCCA